This is a small nucleolar RNA of Hippocampus comes (tiger tail seahorse), 99 nucleotides long. Its record names the gene SNORD16. It matches the Rfam family "Small nucleolar RNA SNORD16". Rfam says of the family: U16 is a member of the C/D class of snoRNA which contain the C (UGAUGA) and D (CUGA) box motifs. U81 acts as a guanine methylation guide and is found in an intron of ribosomal proteins L1 gene in animals. The record is from Ensembl. Lineage: Eukaryota; Metazoa; Chordata; Actinopteri; Syngnathiformes; Syngnathidae.
UGCACUGAUGGUGUAAUUUGCGUCUGACACUGUGUCCAGUGACAGAAUGCCUGCUGUCAAAUACUGGCUCAGUUGACUGAUGAAUAUUGUUUCUGAGCA